Molecule: ribosomal RNA, 876 nt
Filed under: Siminovitchia fordii
Lineage: Bacteria; Bacillati; Bacillota; Bacilli; Caryophanales; Bacillaceae
Description: bacterial SSU rRNA
Source: RNAcentral
GUCGAGCGGAUGAAGAGAGCUUGCUCUCUGGAUUCAGCGGCGGACGGGUGAGUAACACGUGGGCAACCUGCCUGUAAGACUGGGAUAACUCCGGGAAACCGGGGCUAAUACCGGAUAACUUCUUUUCCCGCAUGGGGAGAGGUUGAAAGACGGUUAUGCUGUCACUUACAGAUGGGCCCGCGGCGCAUUAGCUAGUUGGUGGGGUAACGGCCUACCRAGGCGACGAUGCGUAGCCGACCUGAGAGGGUGAUCGGCCACACUGGGACUGAGACACGGCCCAGACUCCUACGGGAGGCAGCAGUAGGGAAUCUUCCGCAAUGGACGAAAGUCUGACGGAGCAACGCCGCGUGAGUGACGAAGGCCUUCGGGUCGUAAAACUCUGUUAUCAGGGAAGAACAAGCAUCGUUUAACUGACGGUGCCAUGACGGUACCUGACCAGAAAGCCACGGCUAACUACGUGCCAGCAGCCGCGGUAAUACGUAGGUGGCAAGCGUUGUCCGGAAUUAUUGGGCGUAAAGCGCGCGCAGGCGGCUUCUUAAGUCUGAUGUGAAAGCCCACGGCUCAACCGUGGAGGGUCAUUGGAAACUGGGAGGCUUGAGUGCAGAAGAGGAGAGCGGAAUUCCACGUGUAGCGGUGAAAUGCGUAGAGAUGUGGAGGAACACCAGUGGCGAAGGCGGCUCUCUGGUCUGUAACUGACGCUGAGGCGCGAAAGCGUGGGUAGCGAACAGGAUUAGAUACCCUGGUAGUCCACGCCGUAAACGAUGAGUGCUAAGUGUUAGGGGGUUUCCGCCCCUUAGUGCUGCAGCAAACGCAUUAAGCACUCCGCCUGGGGAGUACGGCCGCAAGGCUGAAACUCAAAGGAAUUGACGGGGGCCC